RNAcentral lists this ribosomal RNA (226 nucleotides) under uncultured bacterium. Its description in RNAcentral is "partial 16S ribosomal RNA". It matches the Rfam family "Bacterial small subunit ribosomal RNA", at positions 103 to 334 of the family's 1533-position model. The record is from RNAcentral.
CGGGUGAGUAAUGUAUGGGAUCUGCCUGAUGGCGGGGAUAACUACUGGAAACGGUAGCUAAUACCGCAUAAUGUCUGCGGACCAAAGCGGGGGACCUCCGGGCCUCGCGCCAUCAGAUGAACCCAUAUGGGAUUAGCUAGUAGGUAAGGUAACGGCUUACCUAGGCGACGAUCCCUAGCUGGUCUGAGAGGAUGAUCAGCCACACUGGGACUGAGACACGGCCCAG